UGGAAAGUUACUCAAGUGGUUUAAGAGGACAGGUUGCUACCUUGUUAGGCGUGUAAAAGCGUGCGUAGGUUCGAAUCCUACACUUUCCGU
This 90-nucleotide transfer RNA is filed under the name Streptococcus agalactiae. RNAcentral's name for it is "tRNA-Ser(gct)". It matches the Rfam family "tRNA". Rfam says of the family: Transfer RNA (tRNA) molecules are approximately 80 nucleotides in length. The record is from RNAcentral. Lineage: Bacteria; Bacillati; Bacillota; Bacilli; Lactobacillales; Streptococcaceae. RNAcentral also lists the same sequence under 2 other names.